GAAUCAUGAUCCAGACCAUUCUGCAAGCAUCACAGCAUUAGCUCUGAGACGGCUUUUCAUGAUUGAAGAUCAGAUCAGCUGAGGGCUAAUAUUUGUGCUUGCGAUGCAUCAUCUGGAGGAAACCAACGGUGUUCUGUGCUGCCCAGGGGUGCAGUUCCGAGCCUCACAUUCAGGGUCACUCAGCUCUCUCCACAGAGUAGGGAGACAAAACAAAUCCUUUUCCUGCUGGAGACCAAGGAUAAUGUUACAAGUUUUCAGGCCCAAAAGCACAAACAAUAGUGGAAUGAAGGGAGGAACAAGAAGCAUGGGACCUCACAACCUGGAGCUGUAACUGGACAAUUAAACCCCAAUAUGCAAAUGGGCAAAAACUUACAAAAGUGUGAGACCUCG
Molecule: long non-coding RNA, 390 nt
Organism: Hirundo rustica (Barn swallow)
Lineage: Eukaryota; Metazoa; Chordata; Aves; Passeriformes; Hirundinidae
Exons: 3
Source: RefSeq, a predicted model, not a curated record